ACGUUUCGAGGACGCUAAUACCGCAUACGUCCUACGGGAGAAAGCAGGGGACCUUCGGGCCUUGCGCUAUCAGAUGAGCCUAGGUCGGAUUAGCUAGUAGGUGAGGUAAUGGCUCACCUAGGCGACGAUCCGUAACUGGUCUGAGAGGAUGAUCAGUCACACUGGAACUGAGACACGGUCCAGACUCCUACGGGAGGCAGCAGUGGGGAAUAUUGGACAAUGGGCGAAAGCCUGAUCCAGCCAUGCCGCGUGUGUGAAGAAGGUCUUCGGAUUGUAAAGCACUUUAAGUUGGGAGGAAGGGCAGUAAGUUAAUACCUUGCUGUUUUGACGUUACCGACAGAAUAAGCACCGGCUAACUCUGUGCCAGCGGCCGCGGUAUUACAGAGGGUGCAAGCGUUAAUCGAAAUUACUGGGCGUAAAGCGCGCGUAGGUGGUUCGUUAAGUUGCAUGUGAAAGCCCCGGGCUCAACCUGGACCUGCUUCAAAACUGGCGAGCUAGAGUAUGGUAGAGGGUGUUGGAAUUUCCUGUGUAGCGAUGAAAUGCGUAGAUAUAGGAAGGACCCCCCGGUAAA
Molecule: ribosomal RNA, 571 nt
Filed under: Pseudomonas aeruginosa
Lineage: Bacteria; Pseudomonadati; Pseudomonadota; Gammaproteobacteria; Pseudomonadales; Pseudomonadaceae
Description: bacterial SSU rRNA
Rfam family: Bacterial small subunit ribosomal RNA
Source: RNAcentral